This 78-nucleotide transfer RNA is filed under the name Cordylochernes scorpioides. RNAcentral's name for it is "tRNA-Gly". Lineage: Eukaryota; Metazoa; Arthropoda; Arachnida; Pseudoscorpiones; Chernetidae. The record is from RNAcentral.
GCCUUUGGUUCAGUGGUAGAAUGCUCGCCUGCCACGCGGACGCUUCCUGGUUCGAUUCCCGGCCGAUGGUUUGGGGCG